UCGAGGAUCUUUGGCAAUGGGCGCAAGCCUGACCAAGCGACGCCGCGUGUGCGAUGAAGGCCUUCGGGUUGUAAAGCACUGUCGAGGGGGACGAAGCCGCAAGGUUGACCGAUCCCUGGAGGAAGCACGGGCUAAGUUCGUGCCAGCAGCCGCGGUAAGACGAACCGUGCGAACGUUGUUCGGAAUCACUGGGCUUAAAGGGCGCGUAGGCGGCUUGUCAAGUCAGGGGUGAAAUCUUUCGGCUUAACCGGAAAAGUGCCCUUGAUACUGAUGAGCUCGAGGGAGGUAGGGGCAUGUGGAACUUCUGGUGGAGCGGUGAAAUGCGUUGAUAUCAGAAGGAACGCCGGUGGCGAAAGCGACGUGCUGGACCUCUUCUGACGCUGAGGCGCGAAAGCUAGGGGAGCAAACGGGAUUAGAUACCCCCGUAGUCC
RNAcentral lists this ribosomal RNA (431 nucleotides) under uncultured bacterium. Its description in RNAcentral is "bacterial SSU rRNA". It matches the Rfam family "Bacterial small subunit ribosomal RNA", at positions 355 to 796 of the family's 1533-position model. The record is from RNAcentral.